Molecule: long non-coding RNA, 695 nt
Filed under: Parus major (Great Tit)
Lineage: Eukaryota; Metazoa; Chordata; Aves; Passeriformes; Paridae
Description: lncRNA (ENSPMJG00000010388.1)
Source: RNAcentral
GAAGCUGAUUAUUUUGGUAGAGGAUGUUACACAAUAUUUUUAAAUGGGAAGGUUUUGUUUAUAUUUCUUUUCUUCUGCUGCAGUGAUGCAGCUGAUUGUUCCAGUCUCAGGACAGACUGUAGUCACAGCUGGUCUUGCCGUCCCCAUCUUACACAACCAUCUAGUGCCCCUCUGAGCAACAAACAAUCUUCUUCUGAGCUCCUGUCAAGGCUGGCUCCACCAUUCACACCUCUCUGCUACAAAAGUGCUUGCUACAGUUCAAUAGUGGAGGGAAGAAACAGCUGGUCUGUGCAUUUGUGGGAGAGCAGCAUUUAAUAAGGUAAUAUGUUCAUUUUCUAGGUGUCAGGAAUUAUGAAUUUAUGCCAGGUCAAAUUAAUGCACAUGUUUUCACACAGCACAGUGAAGAGCUCCAUAAGCAAGCACUGUGGUGUUUAGGAUGCUUGUGAAACAUCUACUUCUGGAAUGAGAGCCUCUGUGUUAUGGAGAUUGUUAUGGAGAUACAGCCUUUUAGAACAGAAGUGACAGGUCACAUUUAACUCACACCUCAGUAUUCCCCCCAAAUAACCAAAACAAGGCUGCUGGCUGUAAAAAAUGUGACUGGUGCACAAGCCCCGGGCUCCUAUCAUUCUCCUGCUACAAAGUGCCCCAUAGCAUUUCAGUAAUAUGAAUAAAAACUAAUUUUCCCUCUUCUGCCA